AAGUUUAGGUUAACCCAAACUCAAACCAAGGACCUUCAAAGCCCUAAAUAGGGACCAAGCCCCUAACUUCUG
Molecule: transfer RNA, 72 nt
Filed under: Goggia matzikamaensis
Lineage: Eukaryota; Metazoa; Chordata; Lepidosauria; Squamata; Gekkonidae
Description: tRNA-Trp
Source: RNAcentral